This 864-nucleotide ribosomal RNA is filed under the name Colletotrichum anthrisci. RNAcentral describes it as "LSU rRNA". It matches the Rfam family "Eukaryotic large subunit ribosomal RNA", at positions 71 to 966 of the family's 3401-position model. Lineage: Eukaryota; Fungi; Ascomycota; Sordariomycetes; Glomerellales; Glomerellaceae. The record is from RNAcentral.
GGGAUUGCCCCAGUAACGGCGAGUGAAGCGGCAACAGCUCAAAUUUGAAAUCUGGCCCCAGGCCCGAGUUGUAAUUUGCAGAGGAUGCUUUUGGCGCGGUGCCUUCCGAGUUCCCUGGAACGGGACGCCAUAGAGGGUGAGAGCCCCGUACGGUUGGACACCAAGSCUUUGUAAAGCUCCUUCGACGAGUCGAGUAGUUUGGGAAUGCUGCUCWAAAUGGGAGGUAUAUUUCUUCUAAAGCUAAAUAUWGGCCAGAGACCGAUAGCGCACAAGUAGAGUGAUCGAAAGAUGAAAAGCACUUUGAAAAGAGGGUUAAACAGCACGUGAAAUUGUURAAAGGGAAGCGCUUGUGACCAGACUUGCGYCCGGUGAAUCACCCAGCUCUCGCGGCUGGGGCACUUYGCCGGCACAGGCCAGCAUCAGCUYGCYGUCGGGGACAAAAGCUUCRGGAACGUAGCUCUCUUCGGGGAGUGUUAUAGCCYGUUGCAUAAUACCCUUCGGYGGGCUGAGGUACGCGCUCCGCAAGGAUGCUGGCGUAAUGGUCAUCAGCGACCCGUCUUGAAACACGGACCAAGGAGUCAACCUUAUGUGCGAGUGUUUGGGUGUUAAACCCCUACGCGUAAUGAAAGUGAACGCAGGUGAGAGCUUCGGCGCAUCAUCGACCGAUCCUGAUGUUCUCGGAUGGAUUUGAGUAAGAGCAUAUAGGGUUGGACCCGAAAGAAGGUGAACUAUGCGUGURUAGGGUGAAGCCAGAGGAAACUCUGGUGGAGGCUCGCAGCGGUUCUGACGUGCAAAUCGAUCGUCAAAYAUGCGCAUGGGGGCGAAAGACUAAUCGAACCUUCUAGUAGCUGGUUUCCGCCGAAG